ACGAACGCUGGCGGCAGGCUUAACACAUGCAAGUCGAGCGCCUCGCAAGAGGAGCGGCAGACGGGUGAGUAACGCGUGGGAACCUACCCAAUGGUACGGAACAACUCAGGGAAACUUGAGCUAAUACCGUAUGUGUCCUUCGGGAGAAAGAUUUAUCGCCAUUGGAUGGGCCCGCGUCGGAUUAGCUAGUUGGUGGGGUAAUGGCCUACCAAGGCGACGAUCCGUAGCUGGUCUGAGAGGAUGAUCAGCCACACUGGGACUGAGACACGGCCCAGACUCCUACGGGAGGCAGCAGUGGGGAAUAUUGGACAAUGGGCGCAAGCCUGAUCCAGCCAUGCCGCGUGAGUGAUGAAGGCCUUAGGGUUGUAAAGCUCUUUCAGCUGGGAAGAUAAUGACGGUACCAGCAGAAGAAGCCCCGGCUAACUUCGU
This 429-nucleotide ribosomal RNA is filed under the name uncultured bacterium. RNAcentral's name for it is "bacterial SSU rRNA". It matches the Rfam family "Bacterial small subunit ribosomal RNA", at positions 29 to 506 of the family's 1533-position model. The record is from RNAcentral.